Molecule: long non-coding RNA, 4420 nt
Organism: Pipra filicauda (Wire-tailed manakin)
Lineage: Eukaryota; Metazoa; Chordata; Aves; Passeriformes; Pipridae
Exons: 2
Source: RefSeq, a predicted model, not a curated record
GCGGUCCCCUCGGUCCCGUCCCCAGGAUCCCGCCGCGGUUCCAUCCCCAGGAUCUCGUCGUGGUCCCAUCCCCAGGAUCCCGCCGCGUCCCUGUCCCACGGCUCUGCCAGCUCGCCGCCGGGAGUGCCGGGCCUGCUCCCUGGGGGUCGAGAGCCGUGACCGCUUGCAGCGGGUCCCGACCCCCGGACCGGCCGGGCUGCGCACCCAGAGCGCCCGGGCCCCGCGACAACACCACUGAGCAGCAUCUCUGAGGGUGGGGGAGAGUUUCGGGCUUCGAUGUCAAGCUGCUUUUAUAUGAAGACACUGGAAAGAUUAUGGAGGAACACUGACUUUGGUGCAUCCAGUUCACUGAUGACUUCCAUCUCCUACAUCACAUUUCUGACAUGGAUGGUCAAUGAUAGACCGUUUUGAUGAGCUUAAGCCCUGACUGAGUUCUCACUAUUCAUGCUAGACAGGAUGAAUUGGGUAAGGAAGGCAACCAGAAGAGUUGGCAGAAUUUAUCUCAGCAUUCUUCCAUGAGAAAGCAUAACUGAUGCUUGUAGGAUGGUGAAACACAGCAUUCAGCAUAUUCCAGCUGUGUACCUGGACUCUCCAGGAGCAGCUCUGGCCAGGACCAAUUUUUAUGCUCAUGUAAAGGCAAAUAUGACCUUUUCUGCCAGAUGCAAACCUGCAACAAUCAUCAACAUUUUGGCCACCUAAAAGGAGGUUGCUGUAACAUUCAUCUGAUGUGGAAUCAUAAAUAAACUGAAGGCUAUGAAGACUGUUGAGACUUGUUGAAAAGAGCUAUAUAUUAAAGGCUUACGAACUAACUGCUGAACCAGAGUGUACAUCCACCCUUAACUGUGUUUCUGUGUACUCUGCAUUUUUCUUGAUUUUUCUUUGUACGUCUUCCAUUUACAAACUUUUCUUAUGACUUUCCCAAGCCAAGGCACUCUACAGAUUUCUUUCUGAGGGAGCAGGACAUGCAAAUGGGUCUGUUUCCUUCUUAAAUUGAUGGACAUAGAUUUUUUUUUUUAUGUUCUGAGAUGUUUCAUUCAUGUCUCACAGACACCUUAAUUCACUGCUUUUUGUGGACUCCAGUUCCCAAAAGAGAUAUUUUUGAAUAGGAGAAACAAGGAUGUAGCUCAGGCCUUGCUAUUAACAAAGAUACCAUGUUCUUAAUUUCCGUGUAUGAAGAAAUGCAUCUGGCUUCUUACUGGAUGUGAAAGCAAAAUACACAGGCUCAUCUUGCUCUAAUUGACCUUCCUGAAAGAUCUGAGGAUUCCUGUUCUAAAAGAAGCAGGAAUGAUUUGUGUAGUAGGAAGAUAAGCUUUCCGAGCAACUGUGUGAUAGAAGGAAAAUUUAAGAAGCCUAUAACUAAUAUGUAGGGAAGUGGUGGAGAUGUGGGCUAAGUGCUUCAAGUGCUGUAUGGAAACAUGUACUGAAAACUCAGUUAGCUCAUCAAAAACUGAGCCUGGUUUUGUUUUGCCAUAUGGGGACCAGGUUAGAUGGCAAUCAGAGCUUCAGGAAACCUCCCCAGUUUCUCUUCUUGAAGUGCUCACAAGUGCUCCACAACCUGGAUGCAGGGGAUGCCACGAUCACAUGGUCUCCAGGUCACAGGAGGAGUAACAGCAGCAACCUGGAGCCAGAAAUGUGCUGCACAGUAGGCUCAAAGACUCUGGAAGUAGCAGCACUGCCACCACCUCACUGCUCCCUACCCGCCCCCCACAUGCUGCUUGAUGGGAGUAAGAGACUGGAAAAAAACCUAUUACUGGUUCAAAACAACUAAGGAGUCUGUGGGAAAGAGAGUAGAUCAAGUUUUGCGAAGGUGGGACAGUGCUCUGCUCCACACCACACCCCUGAGAGCCUCUGGGACAGCCCUGGAGUGGUGCCAGUUACUGGCAUACCAGCAGCAGUGACCCACCCCCCACUCCUGGAGCCCUUAACCCAGCUCCAGAAUGAGACUAGAAGCCUCACCUGGGGGAGAGUGGUCACAGGAGGCCAGAGCAGAUAAAAAUCAUGGCACAAAGCCUCCACGUGUCACACUCCUGUUGUCUUUGGAUUUUACAGCAGCCAGACCACGCUGGAUCAAAGGGCAGUAGCUACAUCUCUCUUUUCUCUCUCUCUUUUUCUAUCUUUCUCUCUCUUUUCUUCUUUUUCUCUUAAUUUCCGCUUCUUGAAAUCUGGGUAACUUAAAGAUGGAUGGGUUGGAGUCAAUGCUUCGUGAAAUGCUUUAUUGCAAUUGAAUGUUACCCUUAAAAUUUGCCAAGUUCCCUUACUUUCUAAAGUUUGCCACUAAAAGUGUGUUGUUUAACCUCCUGAAAAACCUUGUUGCAUCUUUCCCUUGCUCUCGCUCACUGUACAAAACCCUAAAGCCUCUUUAACAAACUCGCUGGGCAAGAUUUGGGGCCUUAAAAUGGGUUAUGGGACAUUUGACCAGCAGUGGUUGGUGACACAUGGAAGAGGCUGCAGCUCCUUAUCUCAUAUCUCUGUCUGCUACAUCUCCAGCAGCGAGACUGGCUUUGUGUCUUAAGUUAGAGUCAAUUUUCUAAUACAACCUAGUGACAAACUCAUUACUUUGGUCCCAGAGCAAAAACCUUUCAGGAGAACUUAGGUAAAAGAACUAAUUCCAUUCAAAGUGCUUUGCAACAUAUAAUAGAAGAAAAAUAAAAAAUUUGAUAUUUUUGAUGCUGUAACAAGAAGUUACAAACAGAAUGGUGAUAGGAGAUGUAGCUGAAGGUCCUUUCCUUUUUGACCUGCUUGAGAGGUGGUGAUUGCUUGAAUCCCAGCCACCCUAAGUCAUAUGGCAGCAACCUCAUUCUCACCAGCAUUUUUUUUGUCAUUCCACCAGAAGAUGAUGAUUGACUGUUCUCUUCACAUGUGGACUUUGUAACAAUGAUCUGCCUUUUUCCUCAGAAAGCUGAAUUACUGGCCUGAGAUUUUUCUGUGAAUUCCUUAGGGCCACACCGAAAGACCCAUAUACUUAUCUGAAAGAGCGUGGGAUGUCCUAGUGGUUGCAACACAGGGCAGAGAAGGGUCCUUAAGAGUGCAAAUGGGUAUGGUGGAACCAGCACCAGCAGCAUCUGGACAGUUUUGGACAUUCAAAAAUGAAGAUUAAAAUAAAGAUUAAAAGGUGGUUUAGCUGAUGAAAAAUUGCUUGUCGGUCAUCAAAAAAUCUUUUCCCUUGUAUCUGAGAGACAAACAAUGUCAUCACACCACAGGAAAUCAGAGGAUUUAAAAUGCAAGAGUAAAAAGAAGACACAAUUGAUAGAAGGCUCAUGUUUACAUGGUGCAAGACAAUAUUAUUGCAUCAUGGAUACUGAGAUAACUCUCUGUUCGUGAAAAAUGCAGGAGGCCAGGGGGGUUAUAUUUUUUUUAUGGGAGGGUACAGACCUAUUUGUUAUGCAACUUAGACCUAGGAAGUGGUGUGGGGUUGGUUUUGGCUUCUUUGACAUGGUUUUGGAUAAGAUUUUGGUAUGUGGGCUUAAACAGAGCUCAGAUUGCAAACUUGAAGAAUUCAUCAUUUUUAGUGGCUUGCAAAAGUGGUCCAAAACCGAAAUCCUGUGGGAUAACUGAUGUUUGAAGAAAUGCCGCAAUUAAAAAUGAAAUAGGGAACAUGAAGUAGCUAUUGGAAAAUGUGGUUCAUUUUAUAAUAUGAUUGAAUAAUAGAACAAACACUUAUGAACCCGCAACUAAGCCUGAAAGUGUGGGACCAGGUUUUAGAUAGAAAUAAUAUGCAGCCAACUAUUUCAGAAAUAAGUGAAGUGCUGUAAUUGGUGAGGUUCUGAAAUGUGUGUGCUGCCAGUUUUUAAAUGCACUAGACAAACUAGAAUUUGUAUUUGUUUUGACUCAGUCCCCUGAAAUAAAUUUGGAUCAGAUAUUUAAAAUCCAAUUAUGCUAUCUGCCAUAUUUCAAAUGCUAAAAUAAACCCCCCCAAAGGAAAUAAGGUCUCCUUACUGCUUUCAAGUGGGUAUUAGUGCUGGGAACAACUGAGGAACACUAUCAUCUUGGUAUCCUCUUGGUUAACACGAUGGUUUCACUACACAUUUGACUCCCACUAAAGCAAUGGUAUAUUGGAAAAAAAACAUAGGAACUUCUUUCUCCCCAGUAAAAAUAUACAUGAUGCUCAUUAAAACCCAAGCAGGUUGCCAGCGCACCCACAUGCUUUAUGGUUUGUGUUGUGUUUUCUGAGUGAAAACUUCUCAAGCAUUUGAAAUUGAAAAAGCAAAUUCCAAUAUGUUUUUUUUCUUUUUUUGCUAGUGGAACUCAAGAAAAAACAAAGGACUGGAACAAAUUUUCCACAGUAAGCCUAUUGUCCCCUACCUUCAAGUAGUAAAUUCAUCAUUGCAUUACUCUUCUUUGGAACCAAUGGUUCUCACUUUGAUGUACAAUGGUUUGUACUUUGAUAUUACUGGAAAUAGAAAAACACAGAAAACAAAAA